This 725-nucleotide ribosomal RNA is filed under the name uncultured archaeon. Its description in RNAcentral is "bacterial SSU rRNA". It matches the Rfam family "Archaeal small subunit ribosomal RNA", at positions 165 to 876 of the family's 1478-position model. The record is from RNAcentral.
UUGUCCUGGAAUGGUAUUACGUCUAAAGGUAUCCCAUACAUGUUUGGUAUACGCCUAAGGAUGGGGCUGCGGCCGAUCAGGCUGUUGGUGAGGUAAUGGCUCACCAAACCUUUGACCGGUACGGGCCAUGAGAGUGGUAGCCCGGAGAUGGACACUGAGACAAGGGUCCAGGCCCUACGGGGCGCAGCAGGCGCGAAACCUCCUCAAUGCACUUACGUGCGAAGGGGCUACCUCGAGUGCCACCUGAUGAAGGUGGCUUUUCCUAGGUCUAAAAAGCCUUGGGAAUAAGAGGGGGGCAAGACUGGUGUCAGCCGCCGCGGUAACACCAGCCCCUCGAGUGGUGGGGAUGAUUAUUGGGCCUAAAGCGUCCGUAGCCUGCCGUAUAAGUUUCCCGUUAAAUCCAGCGUCUCAAGCGUUGGACCGCGGGAAAUACUGUACGGCUAGAGAGUGGGAGAGGUCAGCGGUAUUCUGGGGGUAGGGGCGAAAUCCAUUGAUCCCCGGAGGACCACCAGUGGCGAAGGCUGCUGUCUAGAACACGUCUGACGGUCAGGGACGAAAGCUGGGGUAGCGAACCGGAUUAGAUACCCGGGUAGUCCCAGCCGUAAACGAUGCAUGCUAGGUGUUGGGUUGGCCACGAGCCACCCCAGUGCCGCAGGGAAGCCGUUAAGCAUGCCGCCUGGGAAGUACGAUCGCAAGGUUGAAACUUAAAGGAAUUGGCGGGGGAG